UACGUAGGGUGCGAGCGUUGUCCGGAAUUAUUGGGCGUAAAGAGCUUGUAGGCGGUUUGUCGCGUCUGUUGUGAAAAUCCGGGGCUCAACCCCGGACUUGCAGUGGGUACGGGCAGACUAGAGUGUGGUAGGGGAGACUGGAAUUCCUGGUGUAGCGGUGGAAUGCGCAGAUAUCAGGAGGAACACCGAUGGCGAAGGCAGGUCUCUGGGCCAUUACUGACGCUGAGAAGCGAAAGCAUGGGGAGCGAACAGG
RNAcentral lists this ribosomal RNA (253 nucleotides) under uncultured bacterium. Its description in RNAcentral is "partial 16S ribosomal RNA". It matches the Rfam family "Bacterial small subunit ribosomal RNA", at positions 524 to 776 of the family's 1533-position model. The record is from RNAcentral.